CCUUUAAGACAUUUUCUUGCGUAAUUCGUUGUAGUUUUGUCUUGACGACUCCGUUAUCUGUUUUGAGCUUCUUGAUUACUUGUCUUAAUUCCAUCACUUCAUCAUAAUAAUCUUCUUGAGAUUUAUAUGCAGGCUUGCCACUUGCCAAUAUGUGUUCAUCUGUAGAGUGAGCAUGAAAAUAUCAAUGUGAGAGGUGGAUCGUUAGAUAUCCUGGAAGGAGAGGGGCAGAUAAAUCAUGCAGAGUGGACUUAGACUUAAUAUUUUUUUUAUUUUCUGUAAUUUUUCAUGUAAGUAAUAUUAACUAUAGUAGUAGAGGUAGGCAGAUUCAAUUGGGGCUAUGCACUGUCUGCCCACCUAUCGUCCUAUCAUCUGUAAUUCAGUGAUAGAAUCAUUAAAACAUAUCCCGAAGUGGGAUACUAGAUUCUCAUGGGGGAUACUAAAACUAUGAACCCUGGUAUCCCAGUUGAAAUCUGAAAUCACAC
This is a non-coding RNA of Paramuricea clavata, 482 nucleotides long. The record is from the annotation of a GenBank genome assembly. Lineage: Eukaryota; Metazoa; Cnidaria; Anthozoa; Malacalcyonacea; Plexauridae.